UGUUUGAUCCUGGCUCAGAUUGAACGCUGGCGGCGUGCUUAACACAUGCAAGUCGAGCGAGAAAGGGUCUUUCGGGACCUGAGUACAGCGGCGCACGGGUGAGUAACGCGUGGAUUAUCUGCCUCAUUGACCGGGAUAACAGUGGGAAACCGCUGCUAAUACUGGAUACGCUCCAUGGAAACAUGAGGGAAAGGCGGCCUCUGAUUCAAGCUGUCGCAAUGAGAUGAGUCCGCGUCUCAUUAGCUAGUUGGCGGGGUAAUGGCCCACCAAGGCAACGAUGAGUAGCCGGCCUGAGAGGGUGGCCGGCCACACUGGAACUGAAACACGGUCCAGACUCCUACGGGAGGCAGCAGUGGGGAAUAUUGCGCAAUGAGCGAAAGCCUGACGCAGCGACGCCGCGUGAGGGAAGAAGGCCUUCGGGUCGUAAACCUCUGUUCUGGAGGAAAGAAACUCCAUGGGUUCGAAUAGGGCCCAUGGCUGACGGUACCUCACGAAGAAGCACCGUAACUCCUG
This 513-nucleotide ribosomal RNA is filed under the name uncultured bacterium. RNAcentral's name for it is "bacterial SSU rRNA". It matches the Rfam family "Bacterial small subunit ribosomal RNA", at positions 10 to 506 of the family's 1533-position model. The record is from RNAcentral.